This is an RNA transcript of Oncorhynchus kisutch (coho salmon), 8221 nucleotides long. It is a transcript of the gene named VPS10 domain-containing receptor SorCS1, with no coding region annotated. The transcript is spliced from 28 exons. The record is from RefSeq and is a predicted model, not a curated record. Lineage: Eukaryota; Metazoa; Chordata; Actinopteri; Salmoniformes; Salmonidae.
ACUUCGCCGAGUCGCACUUUUUAACACUGCAGAACAAUUGGACGAGCCACAACUUGCGACGAGUUCUGUUGCUUAACAUCAAUUACAGUCACAAAGGGGAGAGAAGAAGAGAGUAAAAAAAAGACUUGUAUCCAGACUGAGUAUCUUUCUCUGCCACCAGCUAUGGAGAGGGGGGUCAGAUUAUGCCCUAUUUGGCACACCAGCGUUUUCUGGUUUCUGCUUUUGAUAAUGCUAUCUUUCUUUCUAGCCGCUAAAUCAGAGAUAACUUGCAGAUCAUGUCAGCCGGGAGAUAAGGGGCGUAUUAAGGAAUUACUGCUUAAAACGGACACACGAGAAUUCGCAACAGGGCACGGAGGGGAAGUUAUUGGAAAUGGAGACGGGACAACUGCUUCACGGAGUUUAAAUUCUGCAAGUGCCGAAACUCAACAGCUUGAUUGCGCAGCUAGAUCCGAUGAAUGCAUCCAGGGGAAAAACAUAUACUCAAGGCGAAAACGGAAUACUGACAUACUGCUCCGUUCCAAGAACGCACUACUCGAUGGAGGAAUGCAAUACGGUGGUGGUAAACAGAGAAAAUUCACCCCGCGCGGUGAGUACAAAGUUUCCAACCUGAAAAUGAACCGUCAUGUAGGCAAUACAGAUGUCGGGAAGGCUCGCGCAGAUUUAAUUCCCGGCGUCUCACACGAGCACCGAGUUCGUAGGGACAGCCCGGGAGCUAAUAUUGGGGAUGUUAAAGUGAAGUCCUCCGGUUUACCCCAGAGAAGGGAGACACUGCCUCAGAGUUACUCGCGAGAGGGCAUCACCUCACGGACUGGGCGCAGCAGAGUGACACGGUCCGAAUUGCGAUGGAGCAACGAGGACAGAAGAGCGGCCAGUUCGAGGCAGGACGAACUCAAACUCACCAGUUCAACCUUCGCAUUGACCGGAGAUUCCUCUCACAACCAAGCCAUGGUGCACUGGUCUGGGCAAAACAGCAGUGUGAUUCUCAUGCUGACCAAGCUGUUUGACUUCAACCUGAACAGUGUCACAGAGAGCUCGUUGUGGAGGUCAACCGACUACGGAACCACUUACCAGAAGCUCAAUGAGAAAGUGGGGGCGAAAACAAUCCUCAGCUACUUGUACGUCAGUCCCAACAACAAGAGAAAGAUCAUGCUUCUGACUGACCCGGAGGUGGAAAGCAGCCUGCUGAUCAGCUCCGAUGAGGGAGCCACCUAUCAGAAGUACCGCCUCAGCUUCUACAUCCUCAGCCUUCUCUUCCACCCCGAGCAGGAGGACUGGAUCCUUGCCUACAGCCAUGACCAGAAGCUGUACAGCUCGGUGGAGUUUGGAAGGAGGUGGCAACUUGUCCAUGAGAGGGUGGCCCCCAAUCGAUUCUACUGGUCAAAAACGGGUUUAGACAAAGAACCGGGCUUAAUUCACCUGGAAACCAUCAUCUCUGAAGGACAGGCGCUGUACGUCACCUGCAAGCUGCAGAACUGCACCGAGGCCAAUAAGGGCAAGCCGUUCCCUGGCUACAUUGACCCCAAUUCCCUUGUGGUACAAGACGAGUAUGUGUUUGUCCAGGUGUCAACUGGUGGGCGUCCAAUCUACUAUGUGUCAGCCAAGCGGGAAGUCUUCACACCCAUGAAGCUACCCAAGUACACCUUGCCUAAGGAUCUGCAUGUGAUCAGUACGGAUGAGAACCGGGUGGUUGCGGCGGUGCAGGAGUGGAACCAGAACGACACCUACAACCUGUACGUGUCAGAGACUGGAGGGGUCUUCUACACCCUGGCCCUGGAGAACGUAGUCAGCAGCAUGGGGCACGAGGGCAACGUCAUGAUAGACCUGUAUGAGGUGGCGGGUAUAAAAGGGAUGUUCCUCGCCAACAAGAUGACGGACAGCGUGGUGAAGACUUACAUCACCUACAACAGAGGGAGAGACUGGAGGCUCCUGCAGGCUCCCACUGCUGACCUGAGGGGCAACAGCAUCCGCUGUGAACUACCAUACUGUUCCCUACACCUCCACCUACAUGUGUCGGCCAACCCCUACACGUCGGGGAAUAUCGAGAGCAAGGACUCUGCCCCUGGGAUCAUUGUGGCCUCAGGCUCCAUCGGAGCGGAGUUGACCACCAGCAACGUGAGCAUGUUCAUCACCUCGGACGCCGGCAACACGUGGAGACAGAUCUUUGAUGAGGAGUACAGUGUUCUCUACCUGGACCAAGGAGGGGCCCUGGUGGCUAUAAGACACACUCCACUCCCCAUCCGACACCUAUGGAUGAGUUUCGACGAGGGGAGAGAGUGGAAUAAAUACAGUUUCACCAUGUCGCCCCUGUUUGUGGACGGGUUGCUAGGGGAGCCGGGGGAGGAGACUCUCAUUAUGACGAUCUUUGGCCACGUCAGUCACCGGUCCGAGUGGCAGCUGGUCAAGAUUGACUUCAGGUCCAUCUUCAACCGGAGAUGUACAGAGGGGGAUUACCAGACAUGGCACCUACACAACCGGGGCGAACCGUGCAUCAUGGGAGUGAAAAGAAUCUACAGGAAGUUGAAGCCCAUAGCCAGGUGCGUUAUGGGUAAGACAUACUCGGUCACGAUGACCUCGGCACCCUGCGACUGCACAGAGGCCGACUUUGAGUGUGACUAUGGCUACGAUAGGCGGAGUGAUGGCAAGUGCACCCCUGCCUUUUGGUUCCUCCCAUCGUCCAUGUCUAGAAGCUGCACCACAGGGACUACUUUCAUCAACAGCACUGGCUACAGGAAGGUGGUGUCCAAUAACUGCACAGCGGGAAUCAUAGCAGAGUACACGGCCAGGAGGCAGCACUGUCCUACCCAGGCCCCCAAAGGCCUGCACCUCGUCACCAGUGAAGGAAAGCUGACAGCUACGCUGGGCACCAAUGUCACCUUCCUGGUGUUUCUUGAAGAGGGUGACGGAGCCAGGACGAGCAUCAUGGUGGACUUCGGGGACGGUCACGCUCUGACCUACUCCAACGUGAGCUCCAUAGAGAAUGGGGUCAAGCAUGUCUACAAGGCUGUCGGGAUCUACCGUGUGACCGCUACAGGAGAGAACAGGCUGGGGUCGGAGAGCGUGGUGCUGUACCUCCACGUCACAUGUCAGCUGGAGUAUAUCCAUCUCUCCGCUCCCUUUGUGGCGGUGAAGAGUAAGGAAGUCAACCUCACUGCUGUGCUGUGGCCGAGCCAAGUGGGAACAGUCACCUACAUCUGGUGGUUCGGAAAUAACACUGAGCCGAUAAUCACCCUGGAAGGGAGCGUGGCGUGCACGUUCUCCCGGGAAGGCGUCAACACUGUCACCGUGCAGGUGUCCGCUGGGAACGCCAUCCUACAGGACCGGAAAGCCAUCGCUGUCCACGAAUAUUUCAGGUCACAUCUACUAGCCUUCUCAUCUAACCUGGAUGACCACAACCCCGACGUGGCCGAAUGGAGACUAGACGUCAGCAGAGUCAUCAAGAACUCCAUGGUCAAAGCCACAGGGGUGACACCGGAACGGCUCCUUGUCAGUGUCCUACCAGGGUUGCCCACGGCAGCAGAGUUUUUCCUCCUACCAGACAAAGAGUUAACGGAGGGAAAGCCGGAUAAGAACUCAGCUCAUUUAGACCAGCUCACUGAAAUCAUACUUAGCGCCCUCAACCAAAACCUGGUCCAGUUCACCCUUCGUCCUGGGGUCCAGGUCACAGUAUAUGCUGCACAUUUGUCAGCAGCUACACAGAGACAUUCAGAGAGUGAGCAUCGUUACAAGUAUGUGUGCCUCUUCCUUUUGGGGAUGCUGCUACUGUCCUAGGGGCUUAUAAGAUAAAGACGCCCCUAGUGGACAUGAGUGAGAACCACAGCGGCUCGGCCAUGCUGAUGCUGCUGUCGGUUGUGGUUCUGGGUUUGGCGAUAUUUGUCGUCUACAAAUUCAAAAGAUCCCAGGCCUCAACGUCUAUGCGCAGAUGCAGAACGAAAAAGAACAAGAAAUGAUCCAGAGUCCAGUAAGUCCGACGGAAAGCACCCUGGUGUCCCCGAACACUCCGAGGGAGCUGGUGACUUCUCCGGAGCUUAUGGACACAGAGUUGAACACACGGCCCAUCGGAUGCAUCAAGUCUCACGCACAUGUCAAGUUCUCAACGGAACUCCCCACGUACAUCAACAUUUAAAAACUCUGGACAACCCCGAAAACAGCAACUCCAUUCAGUGUCAUGGACUUUUUGAAUCAUUUGAGCGGACACAAUGGUAUUGAGCUUUAUACCUGUGCAUGUUGGACUUUACUGACUUUGCUGACACGUACUGUGCUCUGUGAAAAUCAGAAGACACUGUAUACAGGUUUUUUUAUUCAUAAUAUAUGUCUAUCCAAUAAAAAAAUCUUUUUUGAUGAAAUGUAUUUAUACAAAGUCAAGUACAUAACUACAAAUGGAAAGCCAGCAUGAUCUAAAGAAAAAAAGACACAAAAAAACAACACUCUUUUGGUUAGCUUACUGUAAGUGUCUUACAUCCUUUUUCGCUACUGUGUGUCGCUACCAGAGGUGGUACACUAUUUAUUCAGUAUAUAAUUGAAUUUAAAAUCACAUUUAUUUUGUAAAUCAUGAAUGUCUGUGUGAUAUUUGUGUAUUUUAAUAACAAAUUACAAACUGAAAAACGGUAUCAAUUAUUAAUACAACAAUUUUGUUUCCGUUCACUGUCUCAUGGAAAGCUGAUUAUGGCACAAUACACUUUUGUACUGAAAUGUUUUGUUUUUGCUUACAAUGUAAUAAUUCAAAGACAGAUACAGGGUUUGGUUGUCUCUUGAUUUGGUGAUGUUAUUGAACUUUGCUGUUAAUCUCUACACUACGAGCUAUAUUUAACGAGAAACACUAGUUGUAGGACACUUUGUUUUUUUCCCAAUGUAAUAGCUUGGUCUGAGAACCGUGGCGCUAGCCUGCUACCAUGAUAGGGACUUCAAGAGAAGCCAAUGUAGAUGCAUUAUGUUUUCAGCUCCCUCUGACACCAUGCAUUAGUUACACCUGAUUUCAUAGAAGAGAAAUGGGCAGAAGACAGUUAUUUGGUGGGGGGGGGGGGGGGCAUCAAAAUCAGUCAAUAUCCUCUCAAAGUAACCUUUUCUUCCGAAGUUAUCUGACGUCCCAAUUUGGAGGUUGAAAAAGUAAAAAGAAAUACAGCUGCUUUAAGACGGAAUAUCAAGUGGAGUGUUCAGAGUGAGAAAAAAAGAGUAGACUGCCUUUAAGGACAAGACACACCAGGGCAUUGAAAUAGGGAGAACAGAACAGAACUGAAAGUCUAGUCGGGAAUUGAGUUAAUGCAGCCAGUCAAGCUCAAUGCUGGUUAAGGUUGGUGACACAUUUAGGCUAAUGGCCCCUAGUCUCGGCCCCGUAUACUCCAUCUCCGUAACGUAUUAUACCCCUUUUCAAGAACCAAAGGAAGUAGAGCGCAGACAGUAGAGGAUGUUAGGGUACAUGAAUGGUUAACUUGUUUUGAGAAGCAGGGAUAGACGCAGUCGAACCCCGAAGUGUUUUACAUGUGGAAUCUGACAGACGUGAUUGUUUGAUUGAUGGUUAUGGAAUUUCGGAAAGCCCUUCUUAUUGUCCUUGUCGUUCCAUAAAGACAAUGAUGGAGGGAAAAUUAUGAUAUUUCUGGAAUCUUCAUAUAACCGUUAUUCUACUGUAGCUGGACAGUGAUGCUAAAAUAUUCCAAGUGACUUGAACUAUGUAGCAUACAUAUUGUAUAAACACACACGAUCACCCACCAACACACAACCUAGAAUGUACAGUACCAGUCAAAUGUUUGGACACACCUACUCAUUCAAGGGUUUUUCUUUAUUUUUACUAUGUUCUACAUUGUAUAAUAACAGUGAAGACAUCAAAAUGAUGAAAUAACACAUGGAAUCAUUUAGUAACCAAAAAAUUGUUAAACAAAUCAAAAUAUAUUUUAAAUUUGAGAUUCGUCAAAGUAGCCACCCUUUGCCUUGAUGACAGUUUUGCACUCCCUUGGCAUUCUCAAAACCAGCGUCACAUGGAAUGCUUUUCAAAAAGUCUUGAAGGAGUUUCCACAAAUGCUGAGCACUUUAUGGCUAAUUUUCUUUCUCUAAUGUCCAUUGCUCAUGUCUCUUGGACCAAGCAAGUCUCUUCUUCUUAUUGGUGUUCUUUAGUAGUGGUAUAUUUGCAGCAAUUGGACCAUGAAGGCCUGAUUCACACAGUCUCCUCUUAACAGUUGAUGUUGAGAUGUGUCUGCUUCUUGAACUCUGUGAAGCAUUUAUUUGGGCUGCAAUUUCUGAGGCUGGUAACUCUAACAAACUUAUCCUCUGCAGCAGAAGUAACUUUGGGUCUUCCUUUUCUGUGGUGGUCCUCAUGAGAGCCAGUUUCAUAAGAACGCUUGAUGGGUUUUGCAACUGCACUUGAAGAAACUUUAAAAGUUCUUGAAAUGUUCCGCAUUGACUGACCUUCAUGUCUUAAAGUAAUGAUGGACUGUUGUUUCUCUUUGCUUAUUUGAGUUGUUCUUGACAUAAUAUGGACUUGGUCUUUUACCAAAUAGGCUUUCUUCUGUGUACCAGCCCUACCUUGUCUCAACACAACUGAUUGGCUCAAACUCAGGAAAGAAGGAAAGGAAAGAAAUUCCACAAAUGAACAUUUAACAAGGCGCACCUGUUAAUUUAAAUGCAUUCCAGGUGACUACCUCACGAAGCUGGUUGAGAGAAUGCCAAGAAUGUGCAAAGCUGUCAAGGUAAAGGGUGGCUACUUUGAAGAAUCUCAUAUAAAAUAUAUUUUGAUUUGUUUAACACUUUGUUGGUUACUACAUAAUUCCACAUGUGUUAUUUCAUAGUUUUGAUGUCUUCAUUAUUAUUCUACAAUGUAUAAAACAGUAUGAAUAAAGAAAAUCCCUUGAAUGAAUAGGUUUGUCCAAACUUUUGACUGGUACUGUAAUCGAGAAAGAAAAGGACAAUGUUCAUGUCUUUGACCUUAGAAAUAAGAGGUCUUUUCAGAUAGAUAUGGACUGGAUACACCGAUGUAUUGUAUGAAUUCAGAUGUAAUUUACUAACUCAUUGUUACAUUGCUAUCUUCCAAUAGUGUUUCAUAGCAAAGCUUCUUAGAUAUUUCAUUAUGAAAAAUGACCCAUCCUCCGGUUUAAACAUGUAUAUUUGAGGCUGCAUGCUAGUGCUUUUUUAAAUAACAAACCUAAUUACAUCUUUUGUUUAUUUUGUUAGAUUUUUUUUCUUACAAAUUGACAAGACAGACUAUUUCCUCUCAGAAAGACUACUAUAAAGUUGCAAUUAUUUAAUGUAUAUCAAAAAUGUUGACAUUGUAACAAAUGACUGGUUGAACUACAGGAUUUAUAACUCCAUCAGAGCAGCAGGAAACUAUUGCAAUAUGACCCUAUAUUUACUUCUGAUUAUCGUCACAUUAAAAUACUUUUCUGAGUGAAUGGUCGCUUUAACAUAAGUCUUCGAAUUACAAGCUUUGCGUGCUCCAUAUAAAUAUUUUGACCUAUAGAACAAUGGCGGAGCUCUCAGAGCAACCCCUUGGGCAAUAUUCAGCUGAGAACGAUUCCACUGGCCCACACUGGCUCAAGUUAAGCACCUUCUACCUUUGAAUCCUUCAGGUUCACAAAUGGAGGCGGACAGGUGGAUCUUUCUUGAAGCUCUGCUGGCAACUGAUAGGGAAACUGGCCCGGGAUGUUCAGACAUAUUGUGAUGUCACAGGACAGGAACCCAAGGUGUGGGCUGGGCUGUAUACAAACGACAGACUAGCUAGAGCAAGAGACGGGCAUGUCCAGUUUUCAACAGCCUGAAUGUCUUGUUUCUAAAGCAGUUCUAAUAUGGACACCGUAAAACCUUGUUUAACAUCUGAAACAAGGUCUGAUUCCACCAGGUAAACCAACAGUAUGGUGUCCAUUUUAGGACCGUAUCCAGGUGUGUGAAGGCAUUAAAAGGAAACCAGCAGACACUCACGCUUCACAAGGACUUGAUUUAGUUCAUCCCUAAACUAUAAUUUCACUUUCUUCCCCCAUAGAUUUAGUGAGAUUAUUUUUGUAGACAGAGUUUUAUUACUGUAAAGCUUUUAUAUAAAAAUACAAAAGUUUAGGUGUACAAUGUUUUUUGUUUUGACCUUAAAUGUGCUGUGCGUAAUUGUUUUAUGCAUUUACAAUCAUAUUUAUUAAAUGGAAAGAAUGUUGAUGUUAACAGUGUUUUCAUUUUUUUUUACAAUAUUUGUAAAAAAAAAAAUACUAUGUAUUUGCGGAAGUUAUAUUCAACCUAUAAAGAAAAUCGA